GGCCUCAUGUUAAUGGGUCGUCGAUAAUUCUUCCCACGAUAGUAAAUAAGAGCAAAUCCUUUGGGUACUCUUUCUAUUGCCACUAGUAUUCCUGCACUCUCAUAUUCCAACAACCUAGCUGUAUCUUCAACAAAUGCAAGAGUCUUUUGUUUGGAUAUCAGCUUCACUAGUUCUCUAUGCUUCCAGUGCAAAUGCAUAUUUUCAAUGACACCAUCAAAAACACCACGAAUGCCUAGAGGCAAGUAUGCCUUCAUUCUUAAGCCAAC
RNAcentral lists this unclassified non-coding RNA (266 nucleotides) under Hevea brasiliensis (rubber tree). Lineage: Eukaryota; Viridiplantae; Streptophyta; Magnoliopsida; Malpighiales; Euphorbiaceae. The record is from RNAcentral.